AUUGAACGCUGGCGGCAUGCCUUACACAUGCAAGUCGAACGGCAGCACGGGAGCAAUCCUGGUGGCGAGUGGCGAACGGGUGAGUAAUAUAUCGGAACGUGCCCAGUCGUGGGGAUAACGUAGCGAAAGCUACGCUAAUACCGCAUACGAUCUAAGGAUGAAAGCGGGGGAUCGCAAGACCUCGCGCGAUUGGAGCGGCCGAUAUCAGAUUAGGUAGUUGGUGAGGUAAAGGCUCACCAAGCCGACGAUCUGUAGCUGGUCUGAGAGGACGACCAGCCACACUGGGACUGAGACACGGCCCAGACUCCUACGGGAGGCAGCAGUGGGGAAUUUUGGACAAUGGGCGCAAGCCUGAUCCAGCAAUGCCGCGUGCAGGAUGAAGGCCUCGGUUGUAAC
RNAcentral lists this ribosomal RNA (396 nucleotides) under uncultured bacterium. RNAcentral's name for it is "bacterial SSU rRNA". It matches the Rfam family "Bacterial small subunit ribosomal RNA", at positions 30 to 429 of the family's 1533-position model. The record is from RNAcentral.